GUCUAUGGCCAUGCCACCCUGAAUGUGCCCGAUCUCAUCUGAUCUCGGAAGCUAAGCAGGGUCGGAGCUGGUUAGUACUUGGAUGGGAGACCACCUCGGAAUACCAGGAUCUGUAGGCA
Molecule: ribosomal RNA, 119 nt
Filed under: Pteropus alecto (black flying fox)
Lineage: Eukaryota; Metazoa; Chordata; Mammalia; Chiroptera; Pteropodidae
Source: RNAcentral